AUGUCGCCCGACCGCCCCAUCCGCAUUGCCCCCACCCCCGUCCGCCGCUAGAUGCGGAUCCCGCCGCUUCCAGCAUCCAGCCAAGCCCGUGAGCCGCACGCCGCUCCUGCUCCCGCUCCGAGCGCCUUAGGUCAGGCGGCGUUGGCCCGACGGCGGGGGGAGGCAUCACGCUGCCAUCCAUGGGCGCGCCCCCGCCGCCGCUGCACCCGACGCCCACCUCUCCCACGGCGCGCCCGCACCACCACCACUACCUCUUCUCCAUCAAGCAGCUCAACACGCUGGGCGCGGCGGCCGUGCUCGCCUUCUCCACCACGGUCCCGCUCUCGGAGACUGCCUUCGCGGUGCUCCUCCCCCCUACCUCCUCGUCCUCGCCUGGCUCGCCUUCCCGCAGCGCCCAGGCCGCUCGAGACCCGGAUCCCGCCUCUACCCCUCGGCACCAUCGUCAGUGUCUUCGAUGGCCACAACGGCCCCGACGCCCCCACCCCGACAGACACUGAGCCCUCUUCCGCUCGCGUGACUGGUGCCCCCUCAACCCUCGACUCUCCUCCCCACCGUGGCCCCUUCCCCAGCCCCAGUGACCAGCGCCUCCCUUCCUAAGUGCGGCCAUGGCGACCAUCGUGCCCUAGCCCGCCCCUGCACCAUGGCAAGCACACCCCUUCUACUCCUCUCGCCCCAACCCCUGUGCAGCCCAGCGCGGUGGCCUAUAACCCACAGCAAGGCGCAACUAGCUGGCUGGUGGCCCUGCCCCGGUGAGCCCCUGCUAGGCGCGGCCAGCAACCCCCGUGGUCUAGCCCCUGCCUAGGCACACCCAAAACCCCUGCCCUUGCAACUUGUCCUCGGCGCCGCCCCACUCGCCCGAGAUCUGCCGCGACAACAGGAAUUGGACGUACAUUGGGACUUUGAAGUGCAGCUAAGGCUACCUGGCGAUUGGUGGAAAGAGAUCUGAUGACGGCGAUCAUGGUCGAAGAGUAGGAGAGGCCCUAGAAGAAAGGUGACAUAUUCUCGUUCUUCGGCAGCGGAAUAAAUGCACCGAGCUGAGAAAGGACAGAACAAAGAAAGAUCUUAAAAUCAAAGCUAAAGAAGUGGAGAUUCAAAAUCUAAAAAAAAGCUAAUGUCAUGGAAUAAAUGAGGUUGAUGUGGAGCUAAAAAGGGAGGCUAUGUUUUUUUGGGUGAGGCGGUUAUCAUUGGCUUGUUAUGUGAACAUUAUUGUGAUGUGGUUUCAUGUUGUCCAGGUGCCAGUUUAACAACUUUUUGCACCACCAUGUCGAGAAUAUCAUUGGGUCAUGUCUGGAGAGUAAUAAUGAUCAACUGAUGGGCCAUGUCCUUGAUGAGUGUAAACUUGUUACAAGAAUUUUGGAAGCAGAGAAGAACUCUGCUCUAUCGUCAGAAUUGGACGGUCGCAUCGACGCCAGGUUCCAGCAGAGGAGUCGUUACUCUCCUUGAUUCCUUCACCGAGUUCACCGAGAUGGCUGAAUUGAAGGGAGAAGAUGAUUUAUCAGCAGGCUCUAUGAGCACAACUGCAUAGUCAAGACAUAAUUCUUCGGCCCCUGCAGACUUCAAGCAGCUAAGAAGUGUUACGCCCAUUGACAUCUUUCCACGACAAGAGACCUGGGCAAGAGAAUCCGGACGUGCUGAGGGGGAGAGGAAGGAGAGGAGGAAGAUAUCGGGCAAGAGAACCCAUUGACAUCCUUGGAUAGGGUCCGUCUGAUGCCAUUCAUCGCUGUCUUUGAUCUCAGGAAGGCAUCUUAGCCAGCUCAAUUUUAUUAGAAAUAUUGUUGUUUUAAGAUACAGAGUCCAUGGUUACUAUUGUACGCUUUUCUGAGAAACUUGUCAUCCCAAUAAUUUGGUUCUGGAGCUAUAUACUGAUCUAGCUUGUUU
Molecule: RNA transcript, 1878 nt
Organism: Zea mays
Lineage: Eukaryota; Viridiplantae; Streptophyta; Magnoliopsida; Poales; Poaceae
Gene name: serine/threonine-protein phosphatase regulatory subunit pseudogene
Exons: 8
Source: RefSeq, marked validated